GGUUAAGCGAACAAGCGUACACGGUGGAUGCCCUGGCAGUCAGAGGCGAUGAAGGACGUGCUAAUCUGCGAAAAGCGCCGGUAAGGUGAUAUGAACCGUUAUAACCGGCGAUGUCCGAAUGGGGAAACCCGGUGCACUUCGGUGCAUCAUCGUUAGCUGAAUACAUAGGCUAACGAGGCGAACCGGGGGAACUGAAACAUCUAAGUACCCCGAGGAAAAGAAAUCAACCGAGAUUCCCCCAGUAGCGGCGAGCGAACGGGGAACAGCCCAGAGCCUGAAUCAGCUUGUGUGUCAGUGGAACGGUCUGGAAAGGCCGGCGAUACAGGGUGACAGCCCCGUACACGAAGGCACACAGGCUGUGAGCUCGAUGAGUAGGGCGGGACACGUGAUAUCCUGUCUGAAGAUGGGGGGACCAUCCUCCAAGGCUAAAUACUCCUGACUGACCGAUAGUGAACCAGUACCGUGAGGGAAAGGCGAAAAGAACCCCGGCGAGGGGAGUGAAACAGAACCUGAAACCGUGUACGUACAAGCAGUGGGAGCCUUCGUAAGAGGGUGACUGCGUACCUUUUGUAUAAUGGGUCAGCGACUUAUAUUCUGUAGCAAGGUUAACCGUAUAGGGGAGCCGAAGGGAAACCGAGUCUUAACCGGGCGUUAAGUUGCAGGGUAUAGACCCGAAACCCGGUGAUCUAGCCAUGGGCAGGUUGAAGGUUGGGUAACACUAACUGGAGGACCGAACCGACUAAUGUUGAAAAAUUAGCGGAUGACCUGUGGCUGGGGGUGAAAGGCCAAUCAAACCGGGAGAUAGCUGGUUCUCCCCGAAAGCUAUUUAGGUAGCGCCUCGUGAACUCAUCUCCGGGGGUAGAGCACUGUUUCGGCUAGGGGGCCAUCCCGGCUUACCAACCCGAUGCAAACUGCGAAUACCGGAGAAUGUUAUCACGGGAGACACACGGCGGGUGCUAACGUCCGUCGUGAAGAGGGAAACAACCCAGACCGCCAGCUAAGGUCCCAAAGUCAUGGUUAAGUGGGAAACGAUGUGGGAAGGCCCAGACAGCCAGGAUGUUGGCUUAGAAGCAGCCAUCAUUUAAAGAAAGCGUAAUAGCUCACUGGUCGAGUCGGCCUGCGCGGAAGAUGUAACGGGGCUAAACCAUGCACCGAAGCUGCGGCAGCGACGCUUAUGCGUUGUUGGGUAGGGGAGCGUUCUGUAAGCCUGUGAAGGUGUGCUGUGAGGCAUGCUGGAGGUAUCAGAAGUGCGAAUGCUGACAUAAGUAACGAUAAAGCGGGUGAAAAGCCCGCUCGCCGGAAGACCAAGGGUUCCUGUCCAACGUUAAUCGGGGCAGGGUGAGUCGACCCCUAAGGCGAGGCCGAAAGGCGUAGUCGAUGGGAAACAGGUUAAUAUUCCUGUACUUGGUGUUACUGCGAAGGGGGGACGGAGAAGGCUAUGUCGGCCGGGCGACGGUUGUCCCGGUUUAAGCGUGUAGGCUGACUUUCCAGGCAAAUCCGGAAGGUUAAGGCUGAGGCGUGAUGACGAGGCAC
RNAcentral lists this ribosomal RNA (1533 nucleotides) under Cronobacter sakazakii. RNAcentral's name for it is "partial 23S ribosomal RNA". It matches the Rfam family "Bacterial large subunit ribosomal RNA", at positions 1 to 1577 of the family's 2925-position model. The record is from RNAcentral. Lineage: Bacteria; Pseudomonadati; Pseudomonadota; Gammaproteobacteria; Enterobacterales; Enterobacteriaceae.